AUUGAACGCUGGCGGCAUGCCUUACACAUGCAAGUCGAACGGCAGCACGGGAGCAAUCCUGGUGGCGAGUGGCGAACGGGUGAGUAAUAUAUCGGAACGUGCCCAGUCGUGGGGGAUAACGUAGCGAAAGCUACGCUAAUACCGCAUACGAUCUAUGGAUGAAAGCGGGGGAUCGCAAGACCUCGCGCGAUUGGAGCGGCCGAUAUCAGAUUAGGUAGUUGGUGAGGUAAAGGCUCGCCAAGCCGACGAUCUGUAGCUGGUCUGAGAGGACGACCAGCCACACUGGGACUGAGACAGGCCCAGACUCCUACGGGAGGCAGCAGUGGGGAA
Molecule: ribosomal RNA, 330 nt
Filed under: uncultured bacterium
Lineage: Bacteria
Description: bacterial SSU rRNA
Rfam family: Bacterial small subunit ribosomal RNA
Source: RNAcentral